This 428-nucleotide ribosomal RNA is filed under the name uncultured Enterococcus sp. Its description in RNAcentral is "bacterial SSU rRNA". It matches the Rfam family "Bacterial small subunit ribosomal RNA", at positions 355 to 774 of the family's 1533-position model. The record is from RNAcentral. Lineage: Bacteria; Bacillati; Bacillota; Bacilli; Lactobacillales; Enterococcaceae.
UAGGGAAUCUUCGGCAAUGGACGAAAGUCUGACCGAGCAACGCCGCGUGAGUGAAGAAGGUUUUCGGAUCGUAAAACUCUGUUGUUAGAGAAGAACAAGGAUGAGAGUAGAAUGUUCAUCCCUUGACGGUAUCUAACCAGAAAGCCACGGCUAACUACGUGCCAGCAGCCGCGGUAAUACGUAGGUGGCAAGCGUUGUCCGGAUUUAUUGGGCGUAAAGCGAGCGCAGGCGGUUUAUUAAGUCUGAUGUGAAAGCCCCCGGCUUAACCGGGGAGGGUCAUUGGAAACUGGUAGACUUGAGUGCAGAAGAGGAGAGUGGAAUUCCAUGUGUAGCGGUGAAAUGCGUAGAUAUAUGGAGGAACACCAGUGGCGAAGGCGACUCUCUGGUCUGUAACUGACGCUGAGGCUCGAAAGCGUGGGGAGCGAACA